RNAcentral lists this long non-coding RNA (3271 nucleotides) under Sus scrofa (pig). RNAcentral's name for it is "lncRNA (ENSSSCG00000062432.1)". The record is from RNAcentral. Lineage: Eukaryota; Metazoa; Chordata; Mammalia; Artiodactyla; Suidae.
GCUCUUUCCCGCGAGCGAAGCCUGCGCUCAGGUCCCCAGAACCCGGGCGAUUCACGAUCUGUCCUCUAGCUGUCGGGGACAUAAGAUAGCGACUUCGCCGCGCCAGCCAGCAGCACCCGGGUUCUGAAUGCCAGAAGCUCGCCUUCCUGGAUCGCCCCUCCUCCCCCCGCCAGAUAUCCGUCGAGAAGCCGAGGCAUGAAGGGGGCCAGCUGUGAGUGCUCGGGAAGGAGGGCUGGGUGAGGCCCUGCUGCCGGUCCGGUCCCGACUCCUGGCGGGGCUGGAGGUGGCGAAGUGUUGUUAUGGAGGAAUGGAAGCGGCUGGAGUUUGUUACCCCCUUUUGUGGGGGGGUCGCAUUCAGUUAUCAACGUCUUCUGUACACAUCCGUACUUGGAGCGGGAAGCGCAGGCUGUGCUUGGACCCUGCUGUGCACAAGUGUGCGUACGGGUGUGUCCACCGUGUGGGCCUUUUCCUUUGUGCAGCUUUUCCCGUGCGCCGAUGCUCCGCCUGCAAACGGUCAGGCUCGCCAGUGCUCCCUCCUGGAAAGGCUCUGGGACAGCACCCGCGUGGACCUUCCUCCGCAUCAGUCCUUAGAGCGUCUGCUCUAAGCAAAUAUCCAGUGGUAGACACUGUUCUGGGCUUUCCUUAGGUGAUUCCAGAUUCUUCCUGACAGGCGGACUAAUGGAAUUCAGCAGAGCUCCAGGGAAAAGCCUGAGCAAACGCGAAUCUGCUCAGCUUGUCCUUCAAUCCAUUCUACGAGGGGGGGACCCGGUCGCCAGGUUCUGAGCCUAUUUCAGAAAACUCAGCUUCCCCUUUUGGCGUGUAAAAAGCCAGACCUCAAACACCCUGUAUUCAGUUUCUAGUAAGAGCCACUCACCCCAGGGCUUUGGGGACGUGUUUAAAUGCUUUCUGGUAACAAUUAUGGGCUGAGGUUAAGAGAUGGUGUUAGCCCACCUCCGACGUGAGAUUUGUGCAGAGGUUUCUCCCUCCCCAUGCUAUUUGGGCACUUUGCACUCUGCCUGCACAAGUAGAGCAACAAUUUUCAUAGCAACCUCUUGCAAGAAAUUCAGAAAGUCGUUAAAGACCCAAAGGAGUAAGACAGCUUUGGGUUGUGUUUCCAUGAUAUCUGGCUAUUCAAGGGCCGUAAGUAUUUUUGAGGAACCUAAUGAGGUAGUGAGAUGGUAGUAAGUUCUCUGGUGCCGUCAGAGCCAAUUGUGAGUUGGCCCCUAGAAGCUAGCACAUGACUAAGGAGACUGGUAAUGUGGGACAUUCUGGACUUUGCAGAUCCAGUGACCUCUGAUUCUUGAAUUGAACCCGGUUGUAAUGGGUGAGAAUCAUGGAUGGAAAGGAUAGGAGAGGGGGGGAGAACAAGAAGAGGCAGGAGAAGCUUAUGAAUAGGAAUGAGAGAGGAAAAUAAGAAAUAGAAAGGAAAUAAAUCACACUCAGAGGGCUGCUCUCUUCCCACAUCUGUACUUUCACAAUCUUCAGAGGUUUCCAUGGAGAUGAGUUGGCUGAUUUUAUGGAAGAUGUAACAGGCAGUGCCUGUCCUCAGAAACCAAUUUUAUCCCCGCAUCUCUAUCUGGGGCCUUAGCUGCUUCACCUGGGCCACGAAGGGGUGGGUCUGUGAACUCCAGGUUCUCUUUUCCAGUUCUGAAAUUCUGUAACUAUAACUAAGAAAUGAGCAUAGUUUUCAAUAGCCCAUACUUCCUUGUUCCUCCAAGAAUCGUCAUUGUCUCCAUUGCUCUCGUGAAUAUGGAUAUGCUUCCUAUAUUCUCUCUUUCCCUGCUCUCCUCCUUUCUGUGCCUCCUUUUAGCUUUCCUAAUUAUGAUUUAUUCCCUGUCUCUGACAAAUCACAUUGUUCUAAUUUAUGGCAAAAUCAAGGAACAAGCCAGAAUAGCCUGCCUUCCUCUCUAAUGAAUAAAUUAAUAAUUAGUCACAUCUAUUGAGCAUCAAUUAUAUGCCCAGGGUUGUGAUAGGCAAUGUCAAAUACAGCAGCUACCACCACCGUGUAAUAAGUGACUGCUCUGGCCUCCUGCUACAAUGGUAGGCAUUUCACAAACAUCAUUUAAGCCCCACAAUAACCCGUUAGAGCUUUAGUCUCUUUUUGCAGAUGCUACUGGCAUAGGGACUAAACUGUGUAUCAUUAAUCUUAUGGAUCUAGACCAUUCUGUGCCUUUAGGUAAGGAUUUGCCUGAGCCUGGAAAGACAAAUCAUGCUUUAAGCACUGCCAAGGUAGAUGCCACUUCCCUUUUAGUGCAUUACCAGCACUGCCUCUGACAACGAUGAGGAAGACAAAGGACCCACGUUGGGCCACAGGUGAGGGUCAGGUACCCCUGGAGCCACCAAGUUUAGUCUAAAUCAGUGGUUCUCAAACUAGCAGAAUCACCCAGAAAUUCAGUGAUUUUUUCUAAAAUACAAAUUCCUGGUCCCCCCCUCCAGAGAUUCUGAUUCAGUAGUGUCAAAUGAGACCUUAGAAUUUGCCUUUCUAGCAAGUUACCAGGAUGACUGAUGCUGUUGGUGUUGGACGACACUGUGAGCACCACUAGAGCAAGGCCUAGAGCAAGGCUGUUCAAACUUCUUAGACUGAAAACCACAGUAUGAUAUGAAUUUUACAUCAUUAUACAAUAGAUGUAAAUAUACAUAAUUAAAACAAGAAUUGUAUGAAUCAAUUUUUCCCUUGCUACAUGUGAAGCCAUGAAAUAUAGAUUUCUAUUCUAUUUCUUUUUUAAAAAAAACAGUGGUCCAAAUUAGGGAAAUACGCAUUUGGAGAGUAUGGUAUUGUAGUUAUAUAAGAAAAUGUCUCUGGAGUUCCCGUCGUGGCUCAGUGGUUAACAGAUCCGACUAGGAACCAUGAAGUUUCGGGAUCGAUCCCUGGCCUUGCUCAGUGGGUUGAGAAUCCGGCGUUGCCAUGAGCUGUGGUGUAGGUUGCAGACAGCGGCUCGGAUCCCGAGUUGCUGUGGCUCUGGCGUAGGCCAGUGGCUACAGCUCCAGUUUGACCUCCAUGUGCCGCGGGAGCGGCCCAAGAAAUCGCAAAAAGACAAAAAAAAAAAAAAAAAAGAAAAAAAAUGUCCUCAUUAGAGAUUUACCCUGAUGGUUUUAGGAGUGAAGCAUCAUUGUCUGCCAUUUAAACUACCUUAGCAAAGAGAAUAAAUGUGAUCAAUCCUAGGAAAUAGUAAUAAUUGUUAAGUGGGAGUGGUAUGUAUAUAGGUUAUUUUACUAUGCUCCCUACUUUUCUACAUGUUUAAAUACUUUUUUUCUUAAUAAAAAGUGUUUU